CACGUCAUCCUCGUCCACGUCAUCAGGGCUCCCCGCUCAGCAGGCAGUCUCCUUCUUCCUCUGCCUCUGCCACGCCCCCUGCUUGUGCUCACUCUCGCUCUCUCUCAAAUAAAUUUAAAAAAAAAUUUUUUUUUUAUGUUUUGCUGAGAAGUCAAGAGCACUUUUUUCCCCAAUGAUUUUAAAAGCUAUGACUUGUAUUUAAUUAUAGGGGUAAGGAUGUUAUUCCUGUUAUAGGAAACUUUGGUAUACAGAGAUGUAAAAGAUGUAACCAUGCUAAUUUAUGUAGAAUUUUCAUUCAUUGAGUCAAAACAUGUUUAAUUUUGAGUCUCAAUUGUUGUGGUCAGGGCUAGAGAGAUAUGAGAGAUAGCCUGUGCUUUCAAGGAGCUGGAUCCGGGGAAGGAGACUGAUGAGGCAAGGCAUUUUGAUUACAAAACAAAACCUUGAGCUCCUGGGAGCUCAGAAGCAGAUUGGAUUGUGUUGGGUUAUGAGAGAGAUGGCUAGGAGCUAGGGCUGAGGGAGCCUGGGCUUCUCAGUGUGGGCAGGCCCAGGUAGGAGUGGCUGAAACAAAGGAGCAUGUGUGAGGGCAGAUUGCUAUGCAAACCUGGGGUUUGGGCGGUGAGCCGGGAGAGGCACACAGAGGAUACAUCACCAGGGCCUCAUGGGCCUUGCCAGAGAAUUUGUGCUUCUGACACUGACACAUGAUGGGGGAGCAGAGCAGCUAGGAGGGAAGGUCAGAGCCAGGUCCCAGAAGCAACGUGAGAGGCCAUGGGAGGGCUUCAACAGACAGGAAAUGAUCUAAUGCAUUUAAAGGAUGACACUCACUGCAGUGCAGUGAAGAGACUCUCUUUGUUUCCCCCCUUGUAAUAUAUUUCUGAAGAAAUUAUGUUGUUUGUCCUGAAGAGUUUCUCACAGCCUGAGAAUUAGCAGGACAGCUUCCUAAGUUGGCUUAUGUUCUUCCAUCAGGAGCCAUACUGGAUGUACUUUGAAGGUAGAUCUGAUGGGAUUUGCGGGUGUUUUACGUCCCAGGAGGUGAGAAAAACAGAGGCGUCAAAGAUGACUCCAAGUCUUGGGCCGGAGCGGUUGGAAGGUCGGAGUCCCCAGCAGAAGACUAGAUACGUGCACCAGCAGUUUGGAAGAGGGGCCGACUGCAGGUUAUACAGCUCCUCCCAGGACGUGCUGAAGAGAAGUCAGUCAGAAUGAGCACAAAACACAUGAUGUUCAGCUAAAAUUAACUGACACCAUCCCAAAUGCUUUCUUCGGAGCAAGAACCAGGAAAGAAGGUAUUGUUUCCACCGGUUAAGAGAGGCAGAAAGGCGCGAGCCCAAGGACUCCACGGCGCAGCGAUGAGAAUCUACAUGGGGAAUGAGAACCCAGUCUACUGGCAGACCCUCCAGCUUGGAUGUUGACUGGAUGCCACUCGGACGACACCCCUGCCCGUUUCGCUUCCCCCCUCCCUCCCGCUGCUCUAGGAACACCCAGCCUUCACUCCUCGCCGCUUUCAUUUGAUCCUUCAUCGACUUUUACAGAUGAAUGCAAACACACCAGAAUAGGUGAGCCCAGCAGUGUGGACGUUUAUGAGGGCUUUUCUAUUCCGAUUUCCAGGAACUCUCUUGGUUAAUAUCAAUGACUGCUCAGUACUUAAUAAAAGGGGAAAGCAGGCUAAGGCA
Molecule: long non-coding RNA, 1667 nt
Filed under: Ursus americanus (American black bear)
Lineage: Eukaryota; Metazoa; Chordata; Mammalia; Carnivora; Ursidae
Description: lncRNA (ENSUAMG00000009004.1)
Source: RNAcentral